RNAcentral lists this ribosomal RNA (252 nucleotides) under uncultured bacterium. Its description in RNAcentral is "partial 16S ribosomal RNA". It matches the Rfam family "Bacterial small subunit ribosomal RNA", at positions 524 to 776 of the family's 1533-position model. The record is from RNAcentral.
UACGUAGGGGGCAAGCGUUGUCCGGAUUUAUUGGGCGUAAAGCGCGCGCAGGCGGCGAUUUAAGUCUCAUGUUUAAACCCGGGGCUCAACUUCGGGUCGCAUGGGAAACUGGGUUGCUUGAGUGCAGGAGAGGAAAGUAGUAUUCCUGGUGUAGCGGUGAAAUGCGUAGAUAUCAGGAGGAAUACUCGUGGCGAAGGCGGCUUUCUGGCCUGUGUCUGACGCUGAGGCGCGAAAGCCAGGGGAGCGAACGGG